GAUAACUGGCUUAAGGUCC
This 19-nucleotide unclassified non-coding RNA is filed under the name synthetic construct. The record is from RNAcentral.